RNAcentral lists this ribosomal RNA (252 nucleotides) under uncultured bacterium. RNAcentral's name for it is "partial 16S ribosomal RNA". It matches the Rfam family "Bacterial small subunit ribosomal RNA", at positions 524 to 776 of the family's 1533-position model. The record is from RNAcentral.
GACAGAGGGUGCAAACGUUGUUCGGAAUUACUGGGCGUAAAGCGCGUGUAGGCGGUCGGGCAAGUCGGAUGUGAAAGCCCAGGGCUCAACCCUGGAAGUGCACUCGAUACUGCUCGGCUAGAGUCCCGGAGAGGAUGGUGGAACUCUCGGUGUAGAGGUGAAAUUCGUAGAUAUCGAGAAGAACACCGGUGGCGAAGGCGGCCAUCUGGACGGUGACUGACGCUGAGACGCGAAGCGUGGGGAGCAAACAGG